Balaenoptera acutorostrata (minke whale) is the source of this 600-nucleotide long non-coding RNA. RefSeq lists it as uncharacterized. The transcript has 3 exons. The record is from RefSeq and is a predicted model, not a curated record. NCBI's taxonomy places the organism in Eukaryota, Metazoa, Chordata, Mammalia, Artiodactyla, Balaenopteridae.
AGCGUAAAAAGGCUCCGGCGUCUCAGCGUCCCGAGCUUUCGGUUCCGGCUUACCGCCGUCCUACACUCAAAUGCCUUCCGCGGCGCAGACCGGGAUGAGAAGAUUCUUCAGUUCGCCAGUCAGUUGUAGCCUGCCGGGUGUAGAAUGCUAUGCUCUGAGGAAGAUGAAAAGAAGUUUAAAAUUCGACACGCCCCCCCCCCCCCCGCCACCGUGGAGCUUACAUUAAUAUUAUCAAUAGCUAACAUUUAUUAAGCACUAUGUCAGGAACUGUUCUUACAUUUAACAUUUAGAGUUCACGAGAACCUUAUGAGCCAUGACAUCGUUUGUACGGUGCGGGCCAUCGUCUGUACAGAUGAAGAAUGCAAGCUCCAAAGACUAUGUCAUAAGCCAGUGACAGAGCUGGAAGGAGAAGGUCAGAGCCCUUGAUCACCUGCUCCAAAACCCAUCAUUCUGCACAGCAGGCUGAAAGCUGAAGGACGUAUUUGCAUCUACCAGCGGAGGAAAUUUGAGUGUUUGUUCUCUUGUGUCCUGCUGUGAAAUUGCCAAAGGAUUGACACGUUUCCUGCUUACAGUUUGCUCCCUGAGAGGCGGUAGUUUGCC